CGCGUAGGCGGCUUUGUAAGUCCGUUGUGAAAUCCCUCGGCUCAACCGAGGAACUGCGACGGAUACUGCUCGGCUUGAGUCCCGGAGAGGGUAGCGGAAUUCCCAGUGUAGCGGUGAAAUGCGUAGAUAUUGGGAGGAACAUCGGUGGCGAAGGCGGCUACCUGGACGGGUACUGACGCUGAUGCGCGAAAGCUAGGGGAGCAAACA
RNAcentral lists this ribosomal RNA (207 nucleotides) under uncultured bacterium. RNAcentral's name for it is "partial 16S ribosomal RNA". It matches the Rfam family "Bacterial small subunit ribosomal RNA", at positions 568 to 774 of the family's 1533-position model. The record is from RNAcentral.